AAAGAAAACUAAAAGAAGGGUUGAGUGGUUGAGUUAAUAGUUUAGUUAGCCAAUCUGUUCAAACAUUACUACUCUCUCUCUCUCGAUCACCAUUAUUAACAGAAGGAAGAAGUAAGGGAUAUAUUUAAGAGAUUUGUACUGAAUCUUUUUUACUAUUUAUAACUUUGUUUUAACCCUUAAUAUUCCUUAAGUUACAUAUCUGCAAAAUGAUGGAAUGACUCCAAUACAGAGGCCAAAAUCUACUGUUGGAAUUCCUAAAUUUGGUCUGUAAGAUUAUGUAGCUGACAGAGAAGGCAGAAUUCUGGAGAGAUUAGGAGAAUAUUUGUAUCUUAUAAUCAGAGAUCUGCAGAGGAUGGCUGCUGGGUUUAGGUUUUUUGGCCAGUGUUUCAGGACUUUUGCAUCGUAUCACCAGCCUCCCUAGGCCUGGACCUGCAACCAGCUUUCUUUGCCAUUUCUUCUCUACAAGCAUAUGCAGUUACAGAGAAGAGUUGGAGAAAGACAAGAGCCAUACUUGUGUAGAAACUGGGGUGUGCAUGAGUGAGGGGUGCGGGUUGCUCCCAAACACAAAGUACUGCAUGUUCUCCUCAGCAAGAUCUCUAAGUCUGUCAAGUUCUGGCAGUAUGACCAUUGCAAGAUCUGGUCGAUCCUUCCGUCUGAGCUCUGCACACUUCAGUGCCAACUUGGCUAACCUUAAUGCUUCCUCAACUGGCCAAUCUGGUACUGAUUGGUCCAACAUCUCUGUGAACGUUCCUCUCUCGAUUGCACGCUCCAUAUAGUGUGCCAACCCCAUGGGAGAUUUGCUAGUGAUAAUUUGCAACAAUAUGAUUCCAAGAGAGUAUAUAUCAGACUUUACACCGAGCAUGCCAGUUUGCUGAUACUCCGGGUCGAUAUAGCAGAAUGUGCCAGCAGUGGCUGUCAUGCAAUACUGGGUGGUAUGGUCUGCUGCAGUUGGGGGAACCAACCGGGCAAGUCCAACAUCGCUGAUCUUGCUGACGUAAUUCCUGUCAAGGAGGAUGUUGGCAGGCUUAAGGUCUCUGUGAACCAGUGGCUCUGGUUUAGUCUGGUGUAGAAAGAGGAGGCCUGUGCCAAUCUCUGCAGCAAUCCGGAACCUAUGCUGCCAAGGAAUGGGUGGUGUAUUCCCUCGCCUGAAUAAGCAAUCUUCCAAGCUUCCAUUUGCCAUGUACUCAUACACAAGGCAGCCAUGUUCUGGGCAAGCGCCCAGCAGUAGAACCAUAUUUGGAUGUCGGAUGCAGCAUAAUAUUUCAACCUGUGUAUGGGAGAUGAUACAAUAAAAAUGUUACACAUAUACACCUAUAUGACUCGAUGUGCUAAUUGCUGCAUUUUGCAUAGAUAGUGCUUGCUCUGAAUCAUCUGGACGCAGAACCUUAAUGGCAACGGGCGUAUGAUCCAGAUAACCUCUGUAAACAGGUCCAUAACCACCUUCUCCAAUUUUUCUGUCCUGUGC
Long non-coding RNA from Musa acuminata AAA Group (dessert banana), 1465 nucleotides. RefSeq lists it as uncharacterized. The transcript has 4 exons. Lineage: Eukaryota; Viridiplantae; Streptophyta; Magnoliopsida; Zingiberales; Musaceae. The record is from RefSeq and is a predicted model, not a curated record.